Molecule: transfer RNA, 73 nt
Filed under: Heterocephalus glaber (naked mole-rat)
Lineage: Eukaryota; Metazoa; Chordata; Mammalia; Rodentia; Bathyergidae
Rfam family: tRNA
About the family: Transfer RNA (tRNA) molecules are approximately 80 nucleotides in length.
Source: Rfam by way of RNAcentral
GCUCUGGUGGCCUAGUGGAUAAGGCAUUGACCUCCUAAGCCAGAACUUGUGGGUUCGAGUCUCACCUGGGAUA